RNAcentral lists this long non-coding RNA (847 nucleotides) under Homo sapiens (human). RNAcentral describes it as "HSALNT0133988". The record is from RNAcentral. Lineage: Eukaryota; Metazoa; Chordata; Mammalia; Primates; Hominidae.
AGCAUGUGCCUCUGGUCCCAGCCUUCCUAUCCAGGCCUUUCCUCCAUGGGCAGGCCCAUUGGUGUCCUCAGAGAUCCAGCUGUGUUCUCCCCAAACCCUAAGGCCCUUCAGCUCUGGUACUUCAAAGGGCUUAGGAGCAUCCAGGCCAGCAUUACCUUUGUGUGUGUUAUCAGCUCUGUGCCAGGAACUUCACAUAUGCUCUCACUGAAUCAUCACAUCAAUCCCACAGGGUAGAAUUAUUAUUCACAUUUUAUUUAUUUUUAUGUGUUUAUUUUAGGGACAGGAUCUCUCUCUCAUCCUGACUGGAGUACAGUGAUGACAUCCCAGCUCACCGCAGCUUCGACUUUCCAGGCUCAGGUGAUCCUCCCACCUCAGUCUCCUGGGAGACUACAGGCUCUUGAUCCAUUCCUAUGGUGGGUGACAUAAUGGCCCUUCCGAAGAUGUCCGUGUCCUAAUUCCUGGAGCCUGUGAAUACACUGGCUGCAUGGCAAGGGUGGAGAUUAAGGUUGCAGAUGGAAUGAAGGUUCCAGCUCACCUUAAAAUAGAGAUUAUCUUGGGUUAUCCGAGUGGACCCAGUGUAAUCACAAGGUUUCUUUAAAUGUGAAGGAGAGAGGCAGGAGAAGAUCUACCCUGCUGGCUUUGAAGUUGGAAGGGUGCCACAAGCCACAAGUGAAGGAAUGUGGGCAGCCUCUAGAAGCUGAAAAAGGCAAGAAAGUGGAUUCUUUCUUAAAACACCCAGAAGGGAACACUGCUCUGCAGGCACCUUGAUUUCAGCCUUGUGAGACCCAUUUUGGACAUCUGACCCCCAGAACUGUAAGAUAAUAAAUCUGUGUUGUUUGAAGCCAUC